AACGAACGCUGGCGGCAUGCCUAACACAUGCAAGUCGAACGAGACCUUCGGGUCUAGUGGCGCACGGGUGCGUAACGCGUGGGAACCUGCCCUUAGGUUCGGAAUAACUCCCCGAAAGGGGUGCUAAUACCGGAUAAUGUCUUCGGACCAAAGAUUUAUCGCCUUUGGAUGGGCCCGCGUUGGAUUAGCUAGUUGGUAGGGUAAAAGCCUACCAAGGCGACGAUCCAUAGCUGGUCUGAGAGGAUGAUCAGCCACACUGGGACUGAGACACAGCCCAGACUCCUACGGGAGGCAGCAGUGGGGAAUAUUGGACAAUGGGCGAAAGCCUGAUCCAGCAAUGCCGCGUGAGUGAUGAAGGCCUUAGGGUUGUAAAGCUCUUUUACCCGGGAUGAUAAUGACAGUACCGGGAGAAUAAGCUCCGGCCAACUCCGUG
RNAcentral lists this ribosomal RNA (433 nucleotides) under uncultured bacterium. RNAcentral describes it as "partial 16S ribosomal RNA". It matches the Rfam family "Bacterial small subunit ribosomal RNA", at positions 29 to 507 of the family's 1533-position model. The record is from RNAcentral.